This 326-nucleotide ribosomal RNA is filed under the name uncultured eukaryote. Its description in RNAcentral is "partial 18S ribosomal RNA". It matches the Rfam family "Eukaryotic small subunit ribosomal RNA", at positions 1470 to 1796 of the family's 1831-position model. The record is from RNAcentral.
CCCUUAGAUGUUCUGGGCUGCACGCACGCUACACUGAUGCUUUCAUCGAGUAUAUAACCUUACCAGACAUGGUUGGGUAAUCUUUUGAAACAGCAUCGUGAUGGGGAUAGAUUAUUGUAAUUAUUAGUCUUCAACGAGGAAUUCCUAGUAAGCGCGAAUCAUCAGUUCGUGCUGAUUACGUCCCUGCCCUUUGUACACACCGCCCGUCGCUCCUACCGAUUGAGUAAUCCGGUGAAUAAUUCGGACCGAUUGCGAUGUCAGUUCCUGGCGCCGCAGACGGAAAGUCUAGUGAACCUUAUUACUUAGAGGAAGGAGAAGUCGUAACA